This 468-nucleotide ribosomal RNA is filed under the name uncultured bacterium. Its description in RNAcentral is "bacterial SSU rRNA". It matches the Rfam family "Bacterial small subunit ribosomal RNA", at positions 28 to 482 of the family's 1533-position model. The record is from RNAcentral.
GAUGAACGCUAGCUACAGGCUUAACACAUGCAAGUCGAGGGGCAGCACAGAGAUAGCUUGCUAUCUUGGGUGGCGACCGGCGCACGGGUGAGUAACGCGUAUCCAACCUGCCCAUUACUCUGGGAUAGCCUUGCGAAAGUAAGAUUAAUACCGGAUGUUGUUAAAAAACCCGCAUGAGUUUUUAACCAAAGAUUUAUUGGUAAUGGAUGGGGAUGCGUGACAUUAGGUAGUAGGUGAGGUAACGGCUCACCUAGCCGACGAUGUCUAGGGGUUCUGAGAGGAAGGUCCCCCACACUGGAACUGAGACACGGUCCAGACUCCUACGGGAGGCAGCAGUGAGGAAUAUUGGUCAAUGGACGAGAGUCUGAACCAGCCAAGUAGCGUGCAGGAUGACGGCCCUCUGGGUUGUAAAACUGCUUUUUAGUUGGGAAUAAAAAGAGGGACGUGUCCCUAAUUGUAUGUACCAUC